UACGUAGGGGGCAAGCGUUGUCCGGAUUUAUUGGGCGUAAAGAGCUCGUAGGUGGUUCGGUAAGUCGGAUGUGAAAUCUCCAGGCUCAACCUGGAGGGGUCAUUCGAUACUGCCGUGACUAGAGGUCGGUAGGGGAGACUGGAAUUCCUGGUGUAGCGGUGAAAUGCGCAGAUAUCAGGAGGAACACCGGUGGCGAAGGCGGGUCUCUGGGCCGAAACUGACGCUGAGGAGCGAAAGCGUGGGGAGCAAACAGG
RNAcentral lists this ribosomal RNA (254 nucleotides) under uncultured bacterium. RNAcentral describes it as "partial 16S ribosomal RNA". It matches the Rfam family "Bacterial small subunit ribosomal RNA", at positions 524 to 776 of the family's 1533-position model. The record is from RNAcentral.